UGAUCUAUCGUACCCACUCCGCGAACCAUUAAUGUCCUCUCAAUUUACCCAGCAGGGUGCCGCGAUACGUGCCGCUUAAUGGCAUUGCCCAUAAAGGGGUCCACGAUACGUGCUGCAGCAUUGCCUAUAAAGGGGCCCACGAUACGUGCUUCGGCAUUGCCCUAUAAAAGGGGUCCACGAUACGUGCUGCAGCAUUGCCUAUAAAGGGGCCCGCGAUACGUGCCUAGGCAUUGAGUUUAAAGGGUAAACUGCUGGUGAGAGCGCAGGUCAGGGGCUGCAGCUCUUUGGCUGUAGUUGACUUGGCUGGGCGGGUCCAAUACCAAUUGGGUUCCUCUUUGCCUUUGGCUUGGAGGUUACUCAGCUGUGAGGGGUGACUUGACCAACUAUUAAGCUUUAUUUCUGAAGACAGGCUGUUAGCUGGCUUGCUGGCUGCAGACUGAUUUAACAAAAGACAACUCUCAACAACGGAUAUCUUGGCUCCCGUAACGAUGAAGAACGCAGCGAAAUGCGAUACGUAGUGUGAAUUGCAGAAUUCCGUGAACCAUCGAAUCUUUGAACGCAAAUUGCGCUCGAGGCCUCGGCUAAGAGCAUGUCUGGCUCAGCGUCGGCUUACUACCCUCAAUCAAUUACCUUGUGAUGAUUGGUUGGAGCUGGCUUUCCGGUGUUCCUAUCAGGUUGCCRGUCAGCUGAAAAACAUUCACGCUGUGGAAGUCGCUUUCCCUUCAAAAAGGAAAGCCGAGUUCCGAUUUGGUAGGUGACCUUUGCCGGUUGCAUGCCUUCGUUGCUCGUUUUGGCUUUCAUGAUAGCGUGUGCAGGACGCCAUUUUGGCUUUCGA
RNAcentral lists this ribosomal RNA (835 nucleotides) under Trebouxia gelatinosa. Its description in RNAcentral is "eukaryotic LSU rRNA". The stretch from base 454 to 607 matches the Rfam family "5.8S ribosomal RNA". The record is from RNAcentral. Lineage: Eukaryota; Viridiplantae; Chlorophyta; Trebouxiophyceae; Trebouxiales; Trebouxiaceae.